This is a long non-coding RNA of Pseudoliparis swirei, 379 nucleotides long. RefSeq lists it as uncharacterized. The record is from RefSeq and is a predicted model, not a curated record. The transcript has 3 exons. Lineage: Eukaryota; Metazoa; Chordata; Actinopteri; Perciformes; Liparidae.
CUUGUUAGACUUUAGAAUAGGCCAUGCACACUGCUUUAAGUUAUUUGCCAUUGAAUAAACAUUUAAUAGACUUUUCAAAUAAUGUCACUUUGUUAACUUGUGAGUAUCUCAACAUACAUCAUAACUAUAAUUUCUAAAUGCAGUCUUUUUUUCAAUCUGAAUUCCAGGUGACACACAAUCAGGCUCCUGCUGUGGCAGUGGACACGGAGACGCCUUUAGACUGGACUAGCUAUGAUGGAUGUGACCCAAAUAGAGCUACAGUCAGGUGACACACAAUCAGGCUCCUGCUGUGGCAGUGGACACGGAGACGCCUUUAGACUGGACUAGCUAUGAUGGAUGUGACCCAAAUAGAGCUACAGUCAGUGACACACAAUCAGGC